UGCUGAAAUCAAACGGAAGUACAAAGGUUGGGACUUCCGUCGCGCAAGGCGGAGGAAUUUAAACGGGACACAGGAAGAGAAAAUAUUGUUUCCCUAUUUUUUUUAGGUUAGCAUCUAGUGCAAACUAAUCCUACUUUGUUCAGAAAUAUCACUUCCAAGGACAAAAUUGGGUUAAUGUGAGAAUACCUUUUCGGCAUACUUUGCUAGCGCCAGCGUCUUGUUACUGAAGCUCAACAGAACCUACAGAAUCUACCUGUGAAUCCAGUCUAAAUUCCUGUCAAUCAUGAGGUCUUUGGCUGUAGCUGUAAUCCUAUGUGCACUGCUGCCACUGUUCCAUGCUGGCUGCUGGUUUGAACAAGCUAAACCAGGCAUGACGCAGUGUCUUUACGACAAGGAUGGGACGUGGCAUGAUACCGGGUCCCGCUGGAGGACCAGUGAUUGCAUGAACUGCUAUUGUCAAGCCAACGGGGACAUGCAAUGCUGUCAGGCGUAUUCUGAGCCCACAAGAUUUCCUGAUGAUUGUAUGAUGGUAAGGGAAG
Molecule: long non-coding RNA, 539 nt
Organism: Oncorhynchus keta (chum salmon)
Lineage: Eukaryota; Metazoa; Chordata; Actinopteri; Salmoniformes; Salmonidae
Exons: 5
Source: RefSeq, a predicted model, not a curated record